Molecule: ribosomal RNA, 490 nt
Filed under: uncultured bacterium
Lineage: Bacteria
Description: SSU rRNA
Rfam family: Bacterial small subunit ribosomal RNA
Source: RNAcentral
AGGAUGAACGCUAGCGGCAGGCCUAAUACAUGCAAGUCGAACGGUUGCCAGCAAUGGCAAUAGUGGCGCACGGGUGCGUAACGCGUAGCCAACCUACCCACAUCUGGGGGAUAGCCCGCCGAAAGGCGGAUUAAUACCGCAUAAGGCUUGGAACCGGCAUCGGUUUUUAGUUAAAGAUUUAUUGGAUGUGGAUGGGGCUGCGUGCCAUUAGCUAGUUGGGGGGUAACGGCCCACCAAGGCGACGAUGGCUAGGGGAGCUGAGAGGCUGGUCCCCCACACGGGCACUGAGAUACGGGCCCGACUCCUACGGGAGGCAGCAGUAGGGAAUAUUGGGGCAAUGGGGCGAGAGCCUGACCCAGCCAUGCCGCGUGCCGGAUGAAGGCCUUCUGGGUCGUAAACGGCUUUUUCCGGGAAGAACCGGUCCUGUGCGCAGGGCUCUGACGGUACCGGGAGAAUAAGCACCGGCUAACUCCGCGCCAGCAGCCGCGGU